Molecule: ribosomal RNA, 352 nt
Filed under: uncultured bacterium
Lineage: Bacteria
Description: bacterial SSU rRNA
Rfam family: Bacterial small subunit ribosomal RNA
Source: RNAcentral
AGAGUUUGAUCCUGGCUCAGGAUGAACGCUAGCUACAGGCUUAACACAUGCAAGUCGAGGGGCAGCAUGGUCUUAGCUUGCUAAGGCCGAUGGCGACCGGCGCACGGGUGAGUAACGCGUAUCCAACCUGCCUUACACUCUUGGACAGCCUUCUGAAAGGGAGAUUAAUACAAGAUGUUAUCAUGAGUAAGCAUUUUCGCAUGAUUAAAGGUUUACCGGUGUAAGAUGGGGAUGCGUUCCAUUAGAUAGUGGGGCGGGGUAACGGCCACCUAGUCUUCGAUGGAUAGGGGUUCUGAGAGGAAGGUCCCCCACAUUGGAACUGAGACACGGUCCAAACUCCGUACGGGAGGCA